This is a long non-coding RNA of Xenia sp. Carnegie-2017, 546 nucleotides long. RefSeq lists it as uncharacterized. The transcript is spliced from 2 exons. Lineage: Eukaryota; Metazoa; Cnidaria; Anthozoa; Malacalcyonacea; Xeniidae. The record is from RefSeq and is a predicted model, not a curated record.
CUCUGUUUGUUCUGGUAAAUAUCCAUCCAAAUCAUCACUAACGUAAGAAAUUCCAAAGGCUUGACAAAUGUUGGCAACAACAGCUUGUAGCAACGUCAGUAUGAAGACUAACUUUCUUUCGACCAAUUUCGUUAUCUGAAGCUACUUCCUCGUCCAUUUCAACGUUGGCAAUGAUACUGCGAGUAUGUAUAGUUGACGAAUUUAUACGAUCACAAACACGAUUGAAAAGUACACUUGAAUAGUUUGUUAUAUCUUAAAAGAAAAAUGAAAAAUAGAGGUGAUGUGAGUUGUUGAAAGACGAACAAUACAAUAGUAAUAGGACACUACGUGUUUAAGGAAAUGAAAACUCAAAGUUUCCACUUAACGUGGGUGUGGCUUUGUGAACGUCAUAUAUCAUAUCUUUGGUCACAAUAUUUUGAUCCAUAUUGCACGAUAUGCAAUCCUGAUUACAAAAAUAUAUGUCAACUGCAAAAAAAUUGGAAGAAAUUAAAGAUUUAGAAACCAGCAAUCAGCAAAGUUCAUGUAAUAUUUUAGAUUUUAAAAUUU